UUUGUGUAGGUACCGCAGCUUCCGGGUGUGUUCAGCGGUGGUUUAUAUAUAUAUUUGAUGCAUUGUGUUUUAUGACAGGUUAAAAGGCUUCUGGGAGUUAUAUAUUGUCAAAACGAACCGAAUAUUUGGUCGUGGAAAACCCAAAGCACCUCCUCCUAAUCUAUCGGACUGCAUAGAAAAUGUGGAUGCCAGGGCGGAGUUUAUGGAUCAGAAGAUCUCUCGUCUGGACGCUGAACUGAUUAAGUAUAAAGACCAAAUGAAGAAGAUGAGAGAAGGACCCUCUAAGGAUGGUGUUCUGGUGGAUGAGUUUGGUCUGCCACAGAUCCCUGCAACAUAAAACUACAGAUCCCUGCUACAUAAAACUACAGAUCCCUGCUACAUAAAACUACAGAUCCCUGCUACAUAAAACUACAGAUCCCUGCUACAUAAAACUACAGAUCCCUGCUACAAAAAACUACAGAUCCCUGCUACAUAGAACUACAGAUCCCUGCUACAUAAAACUACAGAUCCCUGCUACAUAAAACUACAGAUCCCUGCUACAUAAAACUACAGAUCCCUGCUACAUAAAACUACAGAUCCCUGCUACAUAAAACUACAGAUCCCUGCAUCAUAAAACUACAGAUCCCUGCUACAUAAAACUACAGAUCCCUGCUACAUAGGACUACAGAUCCCUGCUACAUAAUACUACAGAUCCCUGCUACAUAGAACUACAGAUCCCUGCUACAUAAAACUACAGAUCCCUGCUACAUAAAACUACAGAUCCCUGCUACAUAACACUACAGAUCCCUGCUACAUAAAACUACAGAUCCCUGCAUCAUAAAACUACAGAUCCCUGCUACAUAAAACUACAGAUCCCUGCAUCAUAAAACUACAGAUCCCUGCUACAUAAAACUACAGAUCCCUGCUACAUAAAACUACAGAUCCCUGCUACAUAGAACUACAGAUCCCUGCUACUUAGAACUACAGAUCCCUGCUACAUAAAACUACAGAUCCCUGCAUCAUAAAACUACAGAUCCCUGCUACAUAAAACUACAGAUCCCUGCUACAUAAAACUACAGAUCCCUGCUACAUAAAACUACAGAUUUCUGCUACAUAAAACUACAAAUCCCUGCUACACUUUUAUAUGUAGAGCAACAUUUAUACGUUACAAUGAUCUGACCUGAGAACAGGUUACAUAACGUACUACCACUGUAUUACUAAGGUAUUGAUGCUGUUUUGGAGAGGAGUUUAUAUUGUUACCGAUAGGGUUUACGUUUACCUAAAGCCGUCCCUUUAAAUUUGGUUUACCUUUAAUUAGAAUGUUCUCGCCAGACUCAGUGGAGGUUCAGAGUAUUACGGAUCAAUGAUACAAAGACUCAUACAUUUUCUUCCUUUUCAGCACCAAUUGUUAGAUUUUUAAAUGCUCUGAUCUUGUCUAUUAUUUCGGGUUAGGAAAGUAGAAACCGGUUUGGAAAGUAGAAUCCGGUUUGGAAAGUAGAAACCGGUUUGGAAAGUAGAAACCGGUUUGGAAAGUAGAAACCGGUUAGGAAAGUAGAAACCGGUUAGGAAAGUAGAAACCGGUUUGGAAAGUAGAAACCGGUUUGGAAAGUAGAAACCGGUUAGGAGAACCUUUAAGCAGUAAAUAUAUUGGUGAAUAAAACCUACAGUGGUUUGAUUCAUCCUGAAAGUUGUCAUAUUCAGUUGUUCAAUCCAUGAAGUAUUGGAAGGGGAGAAAAGUGUACAACAGGGGUUGACCAGUAGUCCUAUAAAACUAUCCUAAUAAUCAUCACUAAUCGUGGAACUGUGGUGACAACGGCCAGUCGUCUUGAACCACCAGGCUCCAGGUAUAUACUGCUAUGUGUGGUCUGCGUUUCAUAAUGAUUCACAUCAUAGGCGAAAUUACCCCAACAUUCAGAACGGGUCAAUCCCCCCUCCCCCCCCCCCUAAUCAUUUCUUUAAAUAAAUAAAAAAUGAUUGCAGGCAAUGCGUUUUAAAAUGUUUUACAAAUAUUGCCCUUGAUUGAAAUAGGCUAAAGGUCCCAAAUUACAUUACAUUUAAGUCAUUUAGCAGACGCUCUUAUCCAGAGUGACUUACUCAUCCUGGUCCCCCCGUGGGAAUUGAACCCUGGUCCCCCCGUGGGAAUUGAACCCACAACCCUGGCGUUGCAAGCGCCAUGCUCUACCAACUGAGCCAUACGGGACCGUAUGAUUGUACAACUUGUAAAACAUUAGCUUAAUAUGAUCUACUAUUGCUAGCGUCCCUCAGGAACAGCCACACCAACAUGAGAGGGAAGAAAGGUCAACUAACAAUGGAAUGGUGCAACAUGUAAGGAAACUAACAUUAACUAAUCCUUGCGACAGAUCCUUGUUAUCAUGCUGAAACAUGAGGUGAUGGAGGAGGAUAAAUGGCACAGCAAUGGGCUUCAGGAACUCGUUACAGUAUCUCUGUGUGUUCAAAUUUCCAUAGAUAAAAUGCAGUUGUGUUCAUUGUCCGUAGCUUAUGCCUGCCCAUAGCAUAACCCCACCGUUACCAUGGGGCACUCUGUUCACAACGUUGACAUCAGGAAACCACUCACCCACACGAUGCCAUUCAUCCGUGUAGAGCACACGUCUCCAGCGUGCCAGUUGCCAUCGCAGGUGAGCAUUUGCCCACUGAGGUCAGCUAUGACGCCGAACUGCAGUCAGGUCAAGACCCUGGUGAGGAUGACGAGCACGCCGAUGUGCUUCUCUGAGACAGUUUUCUGACAGUUUGUGCAGAAAUUCUUCAGUUGUGCAAACCCCACAGUUCCAUCAGCUGUCCAGGUGGCUGGUCUCAGAUGAUCUCGCAGCUGAAGAACAAAGACGGUGACUGAUGGAGUGCUGCAUCAGAUGACCUGUCCUCCACAAUCAGCCGGCCCCAAUUGAGAUGGUCUGGGAUGAGUUGGACCGCAGACUGAAGGAAAAGCAGUUAACAAGUGCUCAGCAUAUGUUGGAACUCCUUCAAGACUUUUGGAAAAACAUUCCAGGUGAAGCUGGUUGAGAGAAUGCCAAGAGUGUGCAAAGCUCUCAUCAAAGCAAAGGGUGGCUACUUUGAAGAAUCUAAAAUAUAUUUUGAUUUGUUUAACACUUUUUUGGUUACUUCAUGAUUCCAUAUAUGUUAUUUCAUAGUUUUGAUGUCUUCACUAUUAUUCUACAAUGUAGAAAAUUGUAAAAAUAAAGAAAAACCCUUGAAUGAGUAUUUGUGUCAUGUACAUGGUGAGAUCUUUAAUAAUAAACUAAACCGACACUUCAACUAACACGUAACAUGUCGACAUUUUUAAGGCGUUCAUGGUAAGAUCUUUCAUAAUAAACUUACAAGCAAACCGACAGGUGAUGUGUCUUACACUACGUCUACAUGACAUGUACGUGUCAUGUAAGGUUUGACACCUUAGAAAAAAAAACAUGUCUCCAUUGAUAGUUCAUGUUAAUUGAUAGAGGUAUUUUAUGAAAGACGUUAGGUGACUUGGUGAGAGGUGUCAGUAGCUUCACGAGGCUUAAUUCUGGCACUUAUCACCACCCAUAUGCUCCUCCUAUAACACCAUGAGUAACACACACGUCAGGUCAUGUUGGAAACUUAUGCCGUGUUCAAAACAACUGGGAACUCUGAAAAAUACGAGUUCAAAUCAUGACGUCAGUGAUUUUCAGGUCGGAGAGUCGGAGCUCUAGAAAGAGCCCUGAGUUCCAAGUCAGAAUUCCAAGUUGGAUGACCGUUCAAAUAGAUUUUUCCCAGUGGGAGCUAGUUAUUUUCAGAGUACCCAGUUGUUUAAAAAGCACUGAAGUCUGAGAUUUCCGAGUUCCAAAAUCCCUGUUUUGAAUGCGGCAAUAG
Molecule: long non-coding RNA, 3822 nt
Organism: Salvelinus fontinalis (brook trout)
Lineage: Eukaryota; Metazoa; Chordata; Actinopteri; Salmoniformes; Salmonidae
Exons: 3
Source: RefSeq, a predicted model, not a curated record